GACGAACGCUGGCGGCGUGCUUAACACAUGCAAGUCGAACGGAAAGGCUCCAGCUUGCUAGAGUACUCGAGUGGCGAACGGGUGAGUAACACGUGGGUAAUCUGCCCUGCACUCUGGGAUAAGCCUGGGAAACUGGGUCUAAUACUGGAUAUGACCUUUCUCCUUAUGGGGUUUGGUGGAAAGUUUUUCGGUGUAGGAUGAGCCCGCGGCCUAUCAGCUUGUUGGUGGGGUGAUGGCCUACCAAGGCGACGACGGGUAGCCGGCCUGAGAGGGUGAUCGGCCACAUUGGGACUGAGAUACGGCCCAGACUCCUACGGGAGGCAGCAGUGGGGAAUAUUGCGCAAUGGGCGGAAGCCUGAUGCAGCGACGCCGCGUGAGGGAUGACGGCCUUCGGGUUGUAAACCUCUUUCAGCAGGGACGAAGCGUAAGUGACGGUACCUGCAGAAGAAGCACCGGCUAACUAUGUG
RNAcentral lists this ribosomal RNA (467 nucleotides) under uncultured bacterium. RNAcentral describes it as "partial 16S ribosomal RNA". It matches the Rfam family "Bacterial small subunit ribosomal RNA", at positions 28 to 507 of the family's 1533-position model. The record is from RNAcentral.